RNAcentral lists this ribosomal RNA (232 nucleotides) under uncultured bacterium. Its description in RNAcentral is "partial 16S ribosomal RNA". It matches the Rfam family "Bacterial small subunit ribosomal RNA", at positions 524 to 754 of the family's 1533-position model. The record is from RNAcentral.
UACGUAGGAGGCAAGCGUUGUCCGGAGUUACUGGGCGUAAAGCGCACGCAGGCGGUCCUAUCAGUCUGGGGUGACAGUUCCCGGCCUAACCGGGAAAGUGCUCUGGAAACUGUAGGACUUGAGGGCUUCAGAGGGAUGUGGAAUUCCAGGUGGAGUGGUGAAAUGCGUAGGAGAUCUGGAAGAACACCAAAGGCGAAGGCAGCAUCCUGGGAAGUUCCUGACGCUCGGGUGC